This is a long non-coding RNA of Dermochelys coriacea (leatherback sea turtle), 2332 nucleotides long. RefSeq lists it as uncharacterized. The transcript has 3 exons. NCBI's taxonomy places the organism in Eukaryota, Metazoa, Chordata, Testudines, Dermochelyidae. The record is from RefSeq and is a predicted model, not a curated record.
AGCCUUAUAGUGUAGCCGUAGCCUCGGAGGCAGUGCUGUCUGCUCUGAAGAGCUUACAGUCUAAAAGCAGACAAGAUGAAGGGCAGAAAAGCAUCAUCCCCCUUUUACAAGGGGGAGAGGCCCAGAGAAGUUAAGUGAUGUGGCCAAGGGCACAGAAAAUCUGUGGUCAAGCCAGGAAUUGAACGCAGCCUUCCUGAUCUCAGGCUAGUCCCUCGCCCAUAACACCACUUUGUCUUGUAAGGCUUGAGAUAGCUAAUCAGAGGGGAUGCCUAGUUCUAAGACUUACUGCCCUAUUCUUUCCUUAGGGCCCAUUGCAACCAGGCUGGUGCCAUCAUGGUAGUGUCAGUAUGAAUCAGGGCUAAGGGAUGUGCUGGCCUGAUGCAUGUUACAUUGGUGGGAAGCUGCUGCCGUUAGUAUAUCGCUCUUGAACGUGCUAACCUGGCCCCCUGUGUCAGUGCUGCACAUACUCACCAGGAGCGUGUGUCAAUGCACCGUGCGGUGUGCCACGGCUGGAGUCUUGCUUUGUUAAUUCUCUCCCCUUUGGCUUUAUAGGUGGGGGAGCCAACGAGUUAUUGUGUAAGGGUUGGUGGCAUUUGGCUGAGCACUAGACAUCAGCUGCCGUGUUUUGCAAAGAAUGGGCCAGAUUCACUGGUGACCUACAUGGGGCAGCUCCCCUUCAAGGGAAACCAAGGAUUCCACAAGCCACGUUACGGGAGGGUUCUGCAACAAAAAAUCCAUCACUUCAUCCAAGGCCUCCCAAGCUUUGGCCACCUUCUCCCGGCUCUGGUUUAGGACGUUGCUGGGCAAGUCCUGGAAGGAGUUGGCAGAGUAGAAGUACCUAUGCAGCUCUGCCAUGUUCUGAUGCACUUGCUGCAUCUUUUCCUGGAGAUGUGUGGGAAGGCCUCUGAUGUUGGAUAAGAGGUUCAGGUACGUAGCUUGCAGCUGCUGCGUCAGGCUACGGGUCAUCGCCAAGGUCUUGGAUUCCACCUGUCGUGACACAGCAAAGGAAGAGUUAGUGAUGUGAGGUUUGCCUGGAUGCUGCAGUCGCUGGCUUUCGACCCUGUUUCUAGUGAAGAUACCUCUAGCUGCAGGGAGCCACUGCCCUUGCUACUGCUGGCUUGGGAGUUGUGAUCUGUGCUGUUGCUGGCUUGGGAGCCGCAGUCCUUGCUGCCCCCUGGUUUGCUCCAGAGGUCUCUUUCCUGCUUCUGGCUCCAUUGGUCCCACAUACUGCGCAGCUUCUCCUGGCUGCUGCGAAGCUUCUUCUCCUGCUGGACGUGUUCAAUCUGCACCGUGGAGAAAGCACCAUGGAGUCGGCUGGGCAUACUGGAGCUGACCAAGAGCAGAGAGGGAGGCUGGACAGGGAGGGGCAAGCGAGUGUCCCCGAUAACCGCGAUCUGGUGGAGUCUGAGGCCAUGCGGCUGCCAGGCGGGAGGCCGAGGAGAGGGCCGGGCGUGUUCUUACCAGGUUGAUAGUCUGGUGGAGAUGAGCGAGGUUCUCAUGGGUGUUCUGUCUGGUCUGUCUCAGCUUAUUCAGGAUCAGCAUGAAGGCCCGGUUCCGCAGACUGGUGGACAGGGACCCCAGCCGCACAAAGCAGCCCUUCUUGCGGUGCUCUGCUGUGGAGACGUCCAGCUCCUCCAUUGUGAGUGCAGCUGGAGAGAGAGAGAGGUGGACACCACAUUAAGGAGGAGGCAGGAGCUAUGGUCCGGAGCUUCACAGGCUCAGUGUGGCACUGUCAGGAUGCCCAGGAUCUACCUACCUGCUGUUCCCUGUUUUCUAGUGAAGCCGUCUUCAGUCCAGUGUCAGAGGAAGCUGCCUUCAGUCCAUUUUCACUGGCUGGCAAAGUGACAUCCACACUUCCUGAUGGGACAGAAUGGGGAAGAUAAGGCAGGUCAGGGAAAAAGUUGCCCAGACUAGCUAGAAAGCAGAACAGGGUCCUGUUGCGCUAGGGGCUGUCCAUCCACAGUGAGAGACAGUCCCUGCCCCCAGAGGGUUUACGGUUUAAAUAGACCAGACAGGUGAAGGGGGAGGAGAAAGCAGGAGUAUCAUCAUCCCAACUUUAUGGAUGAGCAAACUGAGGCAAGCCGAGAGCGACUUGCCCAAGGUUGGGCACCAUCUCUGGCAGAGGCAGGAAUAGAAGCCAGGUCUCUUGAGUCACACUUAACCACAAGACCAACCGUCCUUUUAUGUGUAACAGCCGCCACAGGUGUUGUGCAAUGAGAACUGUGGGGGGGAAAGGCUAGAUUAAGGCCACGGCUACGGGAUGAAGAUAUUGCUAUAGUGGCAUAACACCAACGUGUAAACGCAGCCUCUGCCCUGGCAGGGGUUUCUCCAU